UUUCCGUAGGUGAACCUGCGGAGGGAUCAUUAUUGUGUAACAGAGCUGCGAUGGCUGUGUCUGACCCGAUAUGUCUUGCACACCCGAAUGGCCUCACACAGAUUCAUCUCCCCCCUCUGUGCACCACCUCGUGGGUCCCGAUUUGGCUUGUGCGCAGGCGUGCUUAGGUUUUCACACAUACUAUGUAUGCAGUGUAGGAUGUAUUUUUUGUUUUUGAGAGCACGGAAUCAAUACAACUUUCAACAACGGAUAUCGUGGCUCUCGCAUCCAGGAAGCACA
Molecule: unclassified non-coding RNA, 279 nt
Filed under: plant metagenome
Description: partial contains small subunit ribosomal RNA, internal transcribed spacer 1, and 5.8S ribosomal RNA
Source: RNAcentral